This 203-nucleotide long non-coding RNA is filed under the name Volvox carteri. RNAcentral describes it as "long non-coding RNA (VCAR_LNC001614)". Lineage: Eukaryota; Viridiplantae; Chlorophyta; Chlorophyceae; Chlamydomonadales; Volvocaceae. The record is from RNAcentral.
CGAUGUGGCGUUAGUAUUUUCCAAUGAAAUUGUAGCUGGACGUAGCUGCUUGGACUUUCAAGUAGAUGCGUGGAUAUUAAAAGAGUGAGCGAUGUCCCAGGGCGUUUCGCGUUGCGGUGGCGAAGGGUGACUAGGUGGUGGGGGGACCUGAUAACGAACAUCGAGGGCAUCGAAAGUAUGUGUGUGUAUGUAUGUAAUUAUGU